UCCGGUGAUGGGUCAGUGGUAGAGCGUCUGCUUUGCAGGCAGAAGGUUUCAGGUUCAAUCCCGGCUAGGAA
Non-coding RNA from Podarcis lilfordi (Lilford's wall lizard), 71 nucleotides. Lineage: Eukaryota; Metazoa; Chordata; Lepidosauria; Squamata; Lacertidae. The record is from the annotation of a GenBank genome assembly.